Long non-coding RNA from Zingiber officinale, 1755 nucleotides. RefSeq lists it as uncharacterized. The record is from RefSeq and is a predicted model, not a curated record. Lineage: Eukaryota; Viridiplantae; Streptophyta; Magnoliopsida; Zingiberales; Zingiberaceae. The transcript has 4 exons.
CUUCUCCCAACUCCUCAUCUCACGCGGCCUUCUCCAUCCAACUCCUCUCCAGCAAACUCCUCUUCGGCCUCCAGAUCCGGGGCGUCGGCGGACUCCUACAUCGGGAGCCUCGUAAGCUUGACCUCCAAGAGCGAGAUCAGAUACAAGGGCAUCCUCUACAGCAUCAACACCGAGGAAUCCAGCAUAGGCUUGCGCAACGUGAUUCCAGCAAUUUGGAGGAUGGACAAAGACGAUUCAGUUUUGCCUCGAUUGAUUUAUCUCUUCGGCGUGCUCGAUAUUCCCCACAAGCUAUUUAAAACUUUGACGCUUUGAUUUUUCUACUGGAAUCGAAGGGUGAAAGACUAUUUUGUUUCUACAAUUUUGCCCUAAAUCAACUUCCGCCAUUAAAUGCGUAAAAGUUGCAGCUUUUCUUAUUUUCUUCUAAAUCUCGACAUCUGAUCCUACUAAUGUUGCAACAAAUCAUGGUUCAUGCUACUUUGCCUUUUGUGAGUUUCUCAUCCUUUGCCAUUGAUUUGAAGCAACAACUUUGCCGAAUUCAAGUAUGGCUAUUCGGUUCAUCCUUUUUGGUGUAUUUAUUAGGAGACGAUCCAGAUGAAGUUAAAGCAAGACUCAAGUAUUGGGCACAAACAGUAGCAUGUACUCUACGGUUAUGCAGCUGAAGUUGUGCCUAUCCUUUAAAGUUCAUCUACAUCCGGAAGAAGCAAGAUCCAUGCAAUCCGCUGUAAGAGCUAUCCUCUAGUGUUUACAAUCAAUGCUGAAGAUGGCAACUAAAGUCCCUUCACAAUAAACAGAGACGAAUAAAAGUAAUGGUUCAUUAUAACCUUUGAGGAAGAAUAACUCUACAAGUUCAUGUACUAUACAUGCCGAAUAAAUGAUUCUUCUUCUUAUAAAUAUUGUCCAUGUACCUCAGUGGUGAUCCAUUGGUAAUUUGUGUUCAUGUCGAUGAAUCUGUAGACUAGUUUUGGUUCAUGGUCUUGUUUUAUCAUGACUAUCAUAGUUCAGUUAGCAGGUGCCUGAACUCUGAAGCUUGGGAACUCCCAAUUCUAUACUGGUCGGGAUCUAGAAGGAAAGCCAUCGGGUUAAUUUCUUUCCCAGAUCUUCCUCAGGAAAACUUGAUACUCCUCAGCGACUAAGGAAACAGUAUCAUUGCAGAUUCAAGCUUCUGGUUGGCAUGAUCUAAUUGAGACUGAAAGGAGAUUUGCAUAUGUACUCAAUGCUGAACCAAUCCAGCCAUUAGAGUAGGGUCACUUGUUCUAUGAGGAUUCAAAUCUAAACUCAGAUGAAUAAUCAGCUUACGAACAUCUUCAGAUUGCUUCCAUGGAAAUAAAAGGUAUUUUUUCGUUUAAGCUAUGAGACUAUAGAAUGAAAGGAACAUCUGUGACCAGCAAUACUGAUGGUUACCUUCCGAAGAUGCAUGAACAAUAAAAUUGGCAGAUGGAGGAGAAUUACGACUUCUUGACAGUUUACAAGAUGAAAACAAGAUUACUAUUUUGUGUCGAUACUGGAAUAUUCUUCCUAACUUGUUUUUAAUUAUGACCUGCUGCUAUUUGUGACCUGCAACUUUUACAUUUUAGGGAAAACCAGUUGCAUUGACAUUGGAAUCUAGCACAAAUAUUGUUGCACAUGGUACAAUUGUUUGUGGCAAUGAAUCUGAUAAAAUGCUUCAUCGUGUUUCAUUUCCCAAUAAUUGCAUGCGAGUCUCCAUUGAUGAAGCAGUAGAAAAAUCAGCACCUUUGCCAUAUCCAAUUCCAAGUG